This is a long non-coding RNA of Engraulis encrasicolus (European anchovy), 1388 nucleotides long. RefSeq lists it as uncharacterized. The transcript has 5 exons. NCBI's taxonomy places the organism in Eukaryota, Metazoa, Chordata, Actinopteri, Clupeiformes, Engraulidae. The record is from RefSeq and is a predicted model, not a curated record.
CGUUCUUUGAGGGGACAGGACACAUUAAACUUUGAGGAAGUAGUGUCUUGUUCAGUGUUCACGGUUUAUAUUGCUGAAGGACAAUUACAAGUCUAAACGGAGAAGAGUCGUCAUUUCAAGGUGUUUUCGCGGACGUAUUGGCAUGUGGAUGUUGACAGUGUCGGAAGUAUUAAUCAAAGUUGACACGAGAAGUUGGAGCGAAUGCGAGAAGAGCAUGCGAUGAGCUGCCUGCCUGCUGCUGCCUACUGCCUACUCCUGCUGCUGCCGCUGCUGCUGUUGCAUCCAAGUAAGUUUGGCUGCUAAAAUGUUUUGAUAUUCACUGAACAGACAUGCAAUUGCCUGCAUAGUCCUUUCUUAUUUGAAAGAUGAAUCCCUGUCGCUUGCAAGAUACACAAUCUCAUGCCCAUCGUGCAUAGCUAAUUCAUUGCAUUGGGGAGAGGUGGACGCCGGAUGUAAACAAACUGAGAGGGGGUGUCACGUUGAGUAGCUUUGCAGAUGUAGGCAAAGAGAUUGGCACAUUACUAACGGUGUUGGACUACCAUAAAUUGUUGGGUAGCCAGCCACCCAUGCAUGUUGACACAGCCAGCAGCAGGCACCCAUGGCACAUGGGGAUGGACCCAGGAGUGGAGGAUGACCCAAUAGGAUGAACGUUCAGCCCACUCACUGUUGACACCAGUGACACAGUAUUGACCAGAUCUCCUGGAAGUGCCCCCUGACGCAGACCCAGUUGUUGGGUAGCCACCCAUGCACGUUGACACAGCCAGCACCGAGCACCCAGGGGGAUGGAACCAGGAAUGGAGGAUGGUCCAAUAGGGUAGCAUCAUGAAGGCAGUUUACCCCUGAAACUUUUUACAAAGGACCAUCAUCGUCAGAGAAGUUCCUUUAACCCUUUAUCUCCCAUAGCGGCCGUGAACGCCCGGCCACCUCUCUCCCAUAACGCCCGCCGACACCCGGAGUAUUUUCAUAGCUGAACAGAAGUCAUCAUGCAGUUUCUACAGCUUUCACUUUAGAUCACUAUUACAGACUCUCAAUAUAUUUUUAUUAUAAAAACUAUUUUGGGAAAUCCUGAACUACAGUGCAAAGUGGCUGAGCUCAAAAGUACGGGCUCGCUGCUGCUGCCCAGUAGAAAAUAUCUUUUAAAUGCAGUACAGUUCCUAAUUGUGCGUUCAUGUGGUAAUUACGUAAAUACCAAACACUGACAUCCAAAGCACACAUGAACGCCACUGGCCCUUGUAGAAAAUUUCGAUUAAUGAAUGCACUAUCUCUCUUCUCCACAAGCUCUCCCCUCAUCUAAUCUCUUCAUUUUGCUAGUCCUCAUCUCUCUUUCUUCAUUGUGUUACUGUUUAAGCUGAUAACUGUUACUUUUAAAAAUUAAAUAGUUAAAGAUA